GGUCCGUGCUCCGGCGGUGCUGGCGGUCUCCGUCCUGCCUGUGCGGUGCCAGGCCACAGCAGGUGCGCUCCACCGCAUCUCUCAGGUGGAGAGGGCCGGCAGGCCUGAGAUGAGCUGCUUCUUGCACCACCGCGCCAUUUGGGAUACAGUUAGGGGUAUGCAGAGGCGUCUCCUCCGGACCUAGAGUUUUGUCCUUGAUCAGAGUCGAGGCUUGUAAACAUCAUGAAGGAAGGAUCUACCCACAAUUGGCUUUGAAUUCUGCACAAUGACUAGUAUAUCACUUUGUAUCAAGCAAUAGUUCCCCCUUGUAAAUGAAUUCCUGUGGCUACCACGUCAAUCUCCUAGAUAGUAAUAAGUCUAAUCAGAAACACCAUACAGCUGCUUUCCACACCAGGGCAGUAGGAGAAUUACAUGCGAAUCUUGAACACUGAAGAAGAGGGCUGAAGGAGGAGCUAAACCUGGUGAGUGCCUUACUUACAGAUCCCUG
This 487-nucleotide long non-coding RNA is filed under the name Vulpes vulpes (red fox). RNAcentral's name for it is "lncRNA (ENSVVUG00000002693.1)". The record is from RNAcentral. Lineage: Eukaryota; Metazoa; Chordata; Mammalia; Carnivora; Canidae.